AUCCACACCCCUUUCUUUACUUUUCACUUUUCACUUUUUAAAAACCAAAAUCGCCUCUGUGAAGCAUCACGGUACUUAGAGUAUCGUGAUGUACCGUGAAGACAAUCGCUUGUUUACCCCGAUUCAAGUACCGUGAUUUUUCUCAUUACUUCUCAUUCAAGCCCCCAAAGCUUUCCCUCCUCUCUUUCUGAGCUUGUGAGAGGAUUGGAGUUUUUCUCUGCAGCUCGUUCAAACCCCAAAAGCUUUCUCUCUUUUCUCUUUAAGCUUGUGAGAGGAUUGGGGUCUUUCACUGCAAAAGAAAAAGCAAGGGGAUGAAAAAGGAGGAAGGAAGAGAAAGACAAAAAGAUCAAGAGGAAUAGGUUGGGUUAGGAUUUUCACUACCUUUGAGAGAUCC
Molecule: long non-coding RNA, 394 nt
Filed under: Amborella trichopoda
Lineage: Eukaryota; Viridiplantae; Streptophyta; Magnoliopsida; Amborellales; Amborellaceae
Description: long non-coding RNA (ATRI_LNC000878)
Source: RNAcentral